This 74-nucleotide transfer RNA is filed under the name Candidatus Woesearchaeota archaeon. RNAcentral's name for it is "tRNA-Ala". It matches the Rfam family "tRNA". From Rfam's summary of the family: Transfer RNA (tRNA) molecules are approximately 80 nucleotides in length. Lineage: Archaea; Nanobdellati; Candidatus Woesearchaeota. The record is from RNAcentral.
GGGCGGGUAAUUCAGCCUGGUAGAAUGCUCGGUUGGCAAUCGAGUUGCCCCGGGUUCAAAUCCCGGUCCGUCCA